GUUGGCUCGGGUCGUGUAACACUUGCGGCCCAACGCGUCCGUCACCAUCUACUCGCCCUCGUUCGGGUAGCCACUCACAGAGUGAGAUACUAGAACUUCGAGUAGGCCUCAAGUGAUGUGUGACGACCCCCUGAAUUUAAGCAU
This 144-nucleotide ribosomal RNA is filed under the name Anopheles superpictus. RNAcentral's name for it is "partial 28S ribosomal RNA". The record is from RNAcentral. Lineage: Eukaryota; Metazoa; Arthropoda; Insecta; Diptera; Culicidae.